GUAAGGCCUCGCGCGAUUGGAGCGGCCGAUAUCAGAUUAGGUAGUUGGUGGGGUAAAGGCUCACCAAGCCAACGAUCUGUAGCUGGUCUGAGAGGACGACCAGCCACACUGGAACUGAGACACGGUCCAGACUCCUACGGGAGGCAGCAGUGGGGAAUUUUGGACAAUGGACGCAAGUCUGAUGCCAGCCAUUCCGCGUGCAGGAUGAAGGCCCUCGGGUUGUAAACUGCUUUUGUACGGAACGAAAAGGUUUCU
Molecule: ribosomal RNA, 255 nt
Filed under: bacterium Fw70-60
Lineage: Bacteria
Description: partial 16S rRNA
Rfam family: Bacterial small subunit ribosomal RNA
Source: RNAcentral